RNAcentral lists this ribosomal RNA (503 nucleotides) under uncultured bacterium. RNAcentral describes it as "bacterial SSU rRNA". It matches the Rfam family "Bacterial small subunit ribosomal RNA", at positions 28 to 526 of the family's 1533-position model. The record is from RNAcentral.
GACGAACGCUGGCGGCGUGCCUAAUACAUGCAAGUCGAACGAGAAAUUCUUACACCGGAUGCUUGCAUCCACCGUAAGAUUUCGAGUGGCGGACGGGUGAGUAACACGUGAGCAACCUGCCCCUGACUCUGGGAUAAGCGCUGGAAACGGUGUCUAAUACUGGAUAUGUACCACGAUCGCAUGGUCUGUGGUUGGAAAGAUUUUUCGGUUGGGGAUGGGCUCGCGGCCUAUCAGCUUGUUGGUGAGGUAAUGGCUCACCAAGGCGUCGACGGGUAGCCGGCCUGAGAGGGUGACCGGCCACACUGGGACUGAGACACGGCCCAGACUCCUACGGGAGGCAGCAGUGGGGAAUAUUGCACAAUGGGCGCAAGCCUGAUGCAGCAACGCCGCGUGAGGGAUGACGGCCUUCGGGUUGUAAACCUCUUUUAGCAGGGAAGAAGCGAGAGUGACGGUACCUGCAGAAAAAGCGCCGGCUAACUACGUGCCAGCAGCCGCGGUAACAC